UUUUUCUACCUAAUUCAGAAUAUGUAGUUACAUUAUAGGAGGAGAUCUUAAGCAUUAUAAUUUUAUUAAGGACAGUUAAAUGAGAGCGUUGCUAAAAACCUAUGCUUUUGUUUUUGGUGUGUUGAGGUGUCAUCUGGUUCUGCUUCAUUGUUGAUGUGCUUCUGCACUCCCCUGGAUUUCGUUCUUCAUUGCCCAGAUCUGGGAUCUUCAAUUUUGAAUGGUUGUUGGUCCCAGCCUGCUACUUCUGUAGACUGCUUCUUCUGUAGAUGCUUCUAUUUGAUUGAAUCUCUCCAGUUGUGAUGCGCCUCCCUCUCUUGUGGCAUUUCUUUUAUUUAACUUGAAAGGAUUGAGGAGCUGCGUCAAACACUUCUGGCAGUAUGUGGUGACCUCAGCUAUUUAUAUGGUGUUGGUAGAAGAUCAGGAGCUCCUCCAAUUGAAGAGGAUCUGUGGCAGUUGGUGUUAGUGCUAAGCUCCCUAAUUUUGCUUGGCCUUUAGUGCUAAAGCAGCUUCCUCUUUAGUGCUAAAGUGGCUCCCUUAGUUGGCUUUGUUUUUGCUGGACGAUUAUUCUUCCAAAAUGCUCGGCAAUCGAAUGACUUGUGUAGUUUACUGCGUCAUUAACAAGUUCUGGUCUAAUGGGAUAAUUGGUCUACAUACAUGCAUUACACCAAUAAGCAGUGCAGCACCCAUGAUUUGGUUUGCCCUUUAGUGCUAAACUGGCUCCCUUAGUUGGUGUGGUUUUUGCUGGAUGAAUAAUCUUCCAAUAUGUGCGGCACUUGAAUGAUUUUUGUAGUUCACUGCAAUGUUAUAACUAGUUGUGCUCAAAUGGGAUAUAAUUGCUCUACGUGCAUUACAUCAAUAAACAGUGCAGAACUCAUCCGUAGGAAAGGUAUUGUUAAGCCCCCGAUUGAAAGGAAAAAUGAUUUUCUUUUUCUUUUGACCUCGACAAUGGAGAUUUUUUUGGUUGUGGGAUGUCACCUGCUGCAAGUAGGCUUCAUUGUGGAGACUUCUUUGACGUCAACACUGGGUUACUUGGUUUGCAUGAAUCUGUUGAUAGUGUUUUUUAUUUCAAUAUUCUGCCAUACGUUCAUCUAGAGAAGGAUUGGGGACUUUUCAACAAUUCACUGCCUGUGCCAAAUGUUACAGAGAUAUCAUCUUAAUUUGGUGAGGUAGUGAUCUGAAUCAAAGUCUUUUGUGAUGUAUAUCUUAGUGUCAUAAGACAUGGAUACAACACAAGCAGUCAUGUUGAAAAUGUAUCUUGUGUGAUCUUUUUAUAUAAAUUCUAAUAUUGGCACGAUAAAGGAUGCCUAGCCUUUAUAAAAUUCCUGCUAUUACCAA
Quercus lobata is the source of this 1335-nucleotide long non-coding RNA. RefSeq lists it as uncharacterized. The record is from RefSeq and is a predicted model, not a curated record. The transcript has 2 exons. Lineage: Eukaryota; Viridiplantae; Streptophyta; Magnoliopsida; Fagales; Fagaceae.